CCCCAUCAUGCAGGAGAGAGUGGCCAAUCGCUGCCACCGCCGAAGGCGCAAGCGCACCCGCAAUCGCUCAGGCAAAAGGACUGCAUCAUCGGA
This 93-nucleotide non-coding RNA is filed under the name Aquitalea magnusonii. Its description in RNAcentral is "Glycine sequence". It matches the Rfam family "Glycine riboswitch aptamer". Rfam says of the family: This family represents the bacterial glycine riboswitch. Glycine riboswitches usually consist of two metabolite-binding aptamers domains with similar structures in tandem. The record is from RNAcentral. Lineage: Bacteria; Pseudomonadati; Pseudomonadota; Betaproteobacteria; Neisseriales; Chromobacteriaceae.